This 416-nucleotide long non-coding RNA is filed under the name Elaeis guineensis (African oil palm). RNAcentral describes it as "long non-coding RNA (EGUI_LNC078440)". The record is from RNAcentral. Lineage: Eukaryota; Viridiplantae; Streptophyta; Magnoliopsida; Arecales; Arecaceae.
UCUACUCUGAACUUCUACAGCGGGCGGUCUACUUCGGUCUCUACUAUGAGCAAAUUUCAUUCGAGCCCUCACUGUAAACACGUCUCUUUCGAACUUUCAUUACAGGUAGACUUCAGCCGAGCUUCUUCAUAGCCGGAUCCCAGACGAGCUUCUACAGCGGGACAAGACUCACUGGCCAGAUCGCUACUCCGAGCUCCCACGACAAUCGAUCCUCGAUCGAGCUUCUACAAUAAGCGGUCUCCUUUCAGCCCUCUGCAAGAACCAGACCUCGAUCGAACUUCCACAGCGAACGGAUAUCGGAUGAGCUUCUACGACGGACGGACUUCGGCAGCUGGAUUCUUACAAUGAUCGAUCACCUUCGACGUCUGUCGAACCUCCCCAGUGCCAUCCAAAGUCCAUCAUCGGUCGACCCUACG